RNAcentral lists this ribosomal RNA (393 nucleotides) under uncultured bacterium. RNAcentral describes it as "partial 16S ribosomal RNA". It matches the Rfam family "Bacterial small subunit ribosomal RNA", at positions 523 to 918 of the family's 1533-position model. The record is from RNAcentral.
AUACGGAGGAUGCGAGCGUUAUCCGGAUUUAUUGGGUUUAAAGGGAGCGUAGGUGGGAUAUUAAGUCAGCUGUGAAAGUUUGGGGCUCAACCUUAAAAUUGCAGUUGAUACUGGUUUCCUUGAGUACGGUACAGGUGGGCGGAAUUCGUGGUGUAGCGGUGAAAUGCUUAGAUAUCACGAAGAACUCCGAUCGCGAAGGCAGCUCACCGGGCCGGAACUGACACUGAUGCUCGAAAGUGCGGGUAUCAAACAGGAGUAGAUACCCUGGUAGUCCGCACAGUAAACGAUGAAUACUCGCUGUUUGCGAUACACGGUAAGCGGCCAAGCGAAAGCGUUAAGUAUUCCACCUGGGGAGUACGCCGGCAACGGUGAAACUCAAAUGAAUUGACGGGG